This 423-nucleotide ribosomal RNA is filed under the name uncultured bacterium. Its description in RNAcentral is "bacterial SSU rRNA". It matches the Rfam family "Bacterial small subunit ribosomal RNA", at positions 207 to 622 of the family's 1533-position model. The record is from RNAcentral.
AAGACCUUGCGCUUUUGGAGCGGCCGAUGCCUGAUUAGCUUGUUGGUAAGGUAAAAGCUUACCAAGGCUUCGAUCAGUAGCUGGUCUGAGAGGACGGCCAGCCACACUGGGACUGAGACACGGCCCAGACUCCUACGGGAGGCAGCAGUGGGGAAUUUUGGACAAUGGGGGCAACCCUGAUCCAGCCAUGCCGCGUGAGUGAAGAAGGCCUUCGGGUUGUAAAGCUCUUUCAGCCGGAACGAAACGGUUACGGUUAAUACCCGUGAUUACUGACGGUACCGGAAGAAGAAGCACCGGCUAACUACGUGCCAGCAGCCGCGGUAAUACGUAGGGUGCGAGCGUUAAUCGGAAUUACUGGGCGUAAAGCGUGCGCAGGCGGUUUUGUAAGUCAGAUGUGAAAGCCCCGGGCUCAACCUGGGAACU